GACGAACGCUGGCGGCGCGCUUAACACAUGCAAGUCGAGCGAGAACCAGUCCUUCGGGGCUGGGGAAAGCGGCGAACGGGUGAGUAACACGUGAGUAAUCCACCCUCGGUACCGGGAUAGCCCGGGGAAACCCGGAUUAAUACCGGAUGGCCCAUCCGCACUUUGGAGCGGCUGGGGAAGGUAGCUUCGGCCUCCGACCGAGGACGAGCCCGCGGCGGAUUAGCUUGUUGGUGGGGUAAUGGCCCACCAAGGCGACGAUCCGUAGCUGGGCUGAGAGGACGAUCAGCCACACUGGGACUGAGACACGGCCCAGACUCCUACGGGAGGCAGCAGUGGGGAAUCUUGCGCAAUGGGCGAAAGCCUGACGCAGCGACGCCGCGUGCGGGAAGAAGGCCUUCGGGUUGUAAACCGCUUUCAGGAGGGACGAAGCCACUCAGGUUAAUAGCCUAGAGGGUGACGGUACCUCCAGAAGAAGCCCCGGCUAACUACGUGCCAGCAGCCGCCGUAA
This 508-nucleotide ribosomal RNA is filed under the name uncultured bacterium. RNAcentral describes it as "partial 16S ribosomal RNA". It matches the Rfam family "Bacterial small subunit ribosomal RNA", at positions 28 to 523 of the family's 1533-position model. The record is from RNAcentral.